This 56-nucleotide non-coding RNA is filed under the name unclassified sequences. The record is from RNAcentral.
GGUUCGUUUGCAUGGGGGUGCAAACGAGGUUAAUAGGGAUGGUUGGGCCGCCAUCU